RNAcentral lists this long non-coding RNA (209 nucleotides) under Elaeis guineensis (African oil palm). RNAcentral's name for it is "long non-coding RNA (EGUI_LNC007465)". Lineage: Eukaryota; Viridiplantae; Streptophyta; Magnoliopsida; Arecales; Arecaceae. The record is from RNAcentral.
UUCUCUCUAUCACCUUAUCUCUCUAGUUUCUCUUUUUACUUUCUCUCUACGAUAUUUUCUCACUCUAAAUUAUUUCUCUCGCUUGAUAAAUUUAUCUCUCUCUAUGAUUGAUCUAAUAAAAAGAUCUCUUUCAAUGAUUCUGAUAUGAUUCUAAUGAAGAGAGUCUUGAUUCAUGAUCGUCGGAUAGCAUAUCGACUUUCAUCUUGAUC